RNAcentral lists this ribosomal RNA (253 nucleotides) under uncultured bacterium. RNAcentral describes it as "partial 16S ribosomal RNA". It matches the Rfam family "Bacterial small subunit ribosomal RNA", at positions 524 to 776 of the family's 1533-position model. The record is from RNAcentral.
GACGUAGGGCGCGAGCGUUGUCCGGAUUUAUUGGGCGUAAAGAGCUCGUAGGCGGCUUGUCGCGUCGACCGUGAAAACUUGGGGCUCAACCCCAAGCUUGCGGUCGAUACGGGCAGGCUGGAGUUCGGUAGGGGAGACUGGAAUUCCUGGUGUAGCGGUGAAAUGCGCAGAUAUCAGGAGGAACACCGAUGGCGAAGGCAGGUCUCUGGGCAUUAACUGACGCUGAGACUCGAAAGCGUGGGGAGCGAACAGG